This is a long non-coding RNA of Heterocephalus glaber (naked mole-rat), 5716 nucleotides long. The record is from Ensembl. Lineage: Eukaryota; Metazoa; Chordata; Mammalia; Rodentia; Bathyergidae.
CACAAGCCACAAAACCUACUUGUGUAGGCUUAGCCAAACUUGGGCCCAGAGUGGGAAAUGUUUCAUCCUCCCUGGAGUCAUUCGUGGCUGGGAGACGGGAGCAGUUCAUGUUCUCAGCAUGAAGGAGUUCGGAGAAGCAGCUUAAUUUUAAAAGCUUGUGUUUUCUACCUUCAAUUUGCUGUCAGCUUUCUCUGUCCUCCUCACCCCAUAACACAAAACAGGCUGUUGAGGAAUGGGCUUCUGAAAAGCUGCGGAGUCAGCCCAGUGUGAUUCAUGUCAUGAGAGUGACACGGCUGGGGUUGAGCUGCACAACCACCUCCGAUUCCUUGCCUCUGGGUUGAGAUUAAGGAGCGAGAACUUGGAGAUCAGAGGGUGGCUACUAGAGAAUUUGCAAUCACAUGUGUGGCUUGUAUUUGUGGCUGGUAUUAUGUUUCUGUUGGGCAGGCUGACUCGAGCUUGAAGUUGGAGCGUCAUGCUAUGGCCAGUCCACCUGGUUUAGGACCUCAUACCAUCAUUCUUUCCCGGGAAAGCACAUCCUUGCUCUACUUCCCGCUCACAUCUCCAGAAGUCUGCAGAAAUGAAAAACACGUUUGGAGGUUCUUCCUGCCUCAGCUUCUCCCAGCACCCAACCUGCCAAGAAUAGAACUGUGUGUGGUGCAGGCAGAUACUGAGGAUUAGGUAGUGGCCUAAGAAGAGAACUGACUUGGUCAGCUAGUUUUGCUCUUUUAUUAAUUAUAAGAUCCGUUUUGAAUUCAGUUGGUGGAGUGACAGAUACUCCCAGGUGCUCCUAGCAGUAAAGUGUUCGCCAAAAGCUCUGUGCCCUUGGCUUUUGCAGUUUGGGGCCAUUUUCUUCUCUUCUGCCCAGUCACUCCUCUGCAAAAUCUCUGAAGCUCCCUUGUGCCUUCUUGCAGGGAUGCAGAGCUGGGGCCCCAUGGACCUUGUUGCCAUUUCAGCUGCCAGGCAGAUAAAAAAUUGUGCACAACAGUGUUCCUUCCUCUGAGAAGCUCUGGAAGAGAAGGCUGCAGUGGGCACAUUUGGACUCAGCAGGAGCCUGAGACAACUGAGUCAGUUUCUUUGGAUUCGGCAGUUUUCCAGCACUGUGAGGCCACUGCAGCCUCGAAGACAGCUCAAGGACACGGAUGAGGAAAGCUGAGCCCAUGACGGUUGACACACAACCUCCCACCCUGCUGCAGCCAUGUGUCUACGUCCAGAGGUGGCCUGGGAACAGCACAGCGCCAGCCCUUGGGUACAGUCACAGCCCUUGGGCACAGUGUGGCUCCUGGGCUCUCAGGGCAACUACUAGGUGCCCUAACUCACUGGCAAAACUGGUCAAGCUCUCCCCAAGCAGAGAUCCUUCCUGCUGUUGGCUGUUUUUGUGGGGGACUCUGUGGGUGCACAGCUGUACUCCCUGCUAUGUUUGUUUAGUCUCUUUUCCACUGGGCCCUCCCCUUCCAGGCUGGUAAAAGCACAGCCUUCCCCGAGCCCAGAGGCCAGUUGGGUCUCUUCCAGCUGUGAUCAGAAGGGGCCUGGCAAUGCCUCCUCUGAAGCAAGAUCUAUCAGGCUGCCCAAAAACCAGGAACUGCAGUCUGGGAAAAGAGACAGACACUUGGGUGUUUCCCACUCAUGCAUUUGACAAAUAUUUAAAUGUAGUUAUGCUGUGAGCUAAGCUCUGUGCUAGCCUUGAAGAACUCAGAUCAAUCAGGCAUAAAUCCAGCCAUGUGGACUUUUACAGCCUGGGGGAAGUGAUGGCUGUCAUCAGCAAGGCACACACACUGGUGUGGAAGCCCAGCAGAAUAGGUAGGCUUGAGCAAGCAGGAAUGCGAAAACAGUUGGAUAUUUUAGGGAAGUGACAUUUGAGCUGGCAUUGAAAAAUAGGUGUAACUUGGCUGUACUGCAGGGUUGCUCCCUCUCAGCAUUAUUGACAUUUGGGAGCAGAUAGUCUUUAUUAUGGGGACUGUCCUGUACAGUCUAAGAUGUUUGGCAGCAUCCCUGGCUCCUACCCAUGACAUGCAAAUGAAAGCCUGUCUUAGUCCGCUUUCUGUUGCUAUAAAAAUGCUUGAAGCAGACAUGUUAUAAAGAAGAAGGCAUACAGCUCUGGAGGUUCACAGAAUGGCGCAGUGCCCUGGUGAGGGUCUCCUUGCUACAUGAUAUGAUGAAAAGAGAAAGGGAACUGGCCACGUGCAGAAGGGGCCCCAUGUGUGUGGUGGACUUGCUUUAUAACACCCACUCCCAUGAACACAACUCCCUCUGCAAGGUCAGCAUUAACCCCUCUGAGUUAAGAUGACUCCGUCAUCUUCCGUGGUCCCACCUUCUGCAGCUUCCGCCACCUCUUGACAUCACCACACUGAGAACCAAGCUUCCUCGACCCAGACUUGGGGGACAUUCAAGCCGGGUCCAAACCGAGCAGACCGCAUCCAGCGGUGACAACCAAAAAUGUCUCCAGACGCUUCUGGAUAUCCUCCACUCAGCAAAACCACCCUGGCUGGAACCACUGCUAUAAAAGAAUGGACAGAAGAAUAUGUUAAAAGACAAAAAUACAAACAAGCAAAGGACAUGACACAGAGGUGACCCAGUUUGCCUAGAACAAGGGGUGUGUGCAGGGCACGCUCAGGUGAAGCCAAGGAAAGUUACCACAGGAGGUCCAUGUAGUGGGGUAACAUGAUGAGCUCACAUCUGUUUCCUUCCACCAUAUGUCCCAAGCAUCUGGAACAGAGACUGACACUUAGCGGGAGCUCCACAAGGCCUCGGAUGCUCUCUGUUCGUUCAUUGCUAUGUCCUCAAGGCCUAGGCCCCUGCCUGGCAAGAAACAGGAGCUCACUUUCCUGAAUGAGAUUCCAUUUUGCAAGACUGGCACAAGAACUCUUGUGUCUUGUUACUUUUCUCAUUGCUGAGCCAAAAUACCCGAUACUCAAAGUUAAAGGAGGAAAGGCUUAUCUGGAGUCUUAUCAUUAAGAGCUCCUCUGGCAACCAUUCUUCAUGGUGACAACCCUCACACCUGUUUCAGGGUACCAUGGCUGAUUUUAAACAAGCUGGUCAUGGCACAAACAAGGUUCCCUAGGAAUAUGUGGGCCUCACUCAGAGGAUGAAGCUGGUGCCCAUCCAGUGACAUAGGGGCAAGAGACACAAAGGUGGCUGGUGAGGGUCUCAGAAGCCUCCUAGAAACUCCACUGAAAUGUCUCCAGGACAUUUGUAGGCACACCCAGGCCAUGAUUUCUGUGUCAUAGAAAGCAGCUCCUUUUGUCCGAAUUUCAAGCUCCUAUCUGGGCUGGGAUAAGCUUCUUUCUUUCAUGUUUUAAACUGUUUUGUUAGUGUUAUAAAACGUUAUGAACUGAUAAGCCUAGGUUGUUAUUGACAGCUCAAAGGGACAGAUGUCAGAUAAAUAUAAGGGACAACUUCACAAGGCAAACUGCUCAGGUUACUAGAAAAGGAAUUAGAUUCCUUCGGUUAGGAAGAAGAAUCCUGACAUGGAAAUCACUGGAUUUCCCAGCAGCAGAUAUCUAAGUAGAUGACAAGAUGGCUACAUCCCCAGCCCCCCCCACACUUUUUUUAAAAUUUUGAGACAGGAUCUUGCUAAAUCACUAAGCUGCCCAAACUUUCAAUUGUCCUUCUUCAGCCUUCCAGCGUGCAGAUGACAGGUGUCCACCACCUCACCAAAGUGGCAUUUCCUCCUCCAUCUGCACAUAAAACAAUGUCAAGAACUCCUGGUUGUCAAAGAGAUGACUGGCAAUUCUUAAAGGCAAGAUAAUGUCCUUUAUUUGGAAGAAGCUGAGAGAACUUACUUGCUAAAAAAGGUCCCAAGAGUGAAAGAAAGUGGUUUGAAGGUUCUUUUCUUUCCCCCACAGAAAGGCAUGGAAAUAUCCAAUAUGCAGCAGGAUGCGGUGUUGCCUCCAAACGUUGCAUCUGCCUGAAAUCACUGAGGGAUGAAUUAAGCUGUGACUGUCAAUGAGUAGAGGUGUUUGUGUUGUCCUGUGAUUUCUGAACAUUCUGUAACUGGAGUGUGGCCCUCAGGGCUGGAUCCCUGGGCCUGGCAGACUGGCUCUGACAGUUACACCCUCACCUUUUCUGUGCUUCCAUUUCCUCAUCUCAAAAUUGAGGACAGCUGAACUCCCUACCUACUGCAGGCCUGGGGAGGACAGGUAGGGUUAAUACACGGAACAGCCUUAGAUGCAGGCCUGGCACAUGCCAAGGCUGUGUGUCUCCUGCUGCCGCUUCUGUAACUGGGGGAAAGGACUGGGAGCUGAGUUUAAGAAUCUCGGUGCAGAAUUAUUGAGAAAACCGAUGUAGUGAGCAUGGACCUGGGAUUUAGACACACAGGGCCUCGAGUUCAGGCUCUGUCUUUGGCUGUGUGACAAUCAAGAAAUGUAUACAAAGGAUCUCUGAAUACCAGGAUCUACAUCCAUGGACUCAAUGAAUCAUGGAUCCAAAAUGUGGUUAGGCCUAAGGUGCAUCUGUACUGAGCACUGUGACUCGUUCCUUGUCCUUAUUCUCCAAACGAUGCAGUGUGUCAUUUACACAGCAUUUACAAUGCAUAGGCAUAGGGUGUUGUAAGUCAUCUGGAGUAUACAGAGUAUACACGAGGCUAUGCACAGGUUGUAAGCAAAUAUCGCUCCAUUUUAUACAAGGGGCUUGAAUGUUGCAGAUUUUCAUAUCCUGGAACUAAUUCUCCACAGAUACUAAGAGAUCACUUUAUCUUUCAGAGUCAUUUUCUUUGUCUAUAGGGUGGGGUGAUACUAGUGUAUACUCUGUAGGGCUGUAAGGGUUAAAGAAGGAAAUGCUCAAAAAUAUUCAGCAUAGUCCUAAGACAGAGUCUAUGUUCAAGAAGAUUCUUGAAUCAGUACAUUAAUGCUUUAUCUUCUUCAAAGAAUAAUUUCAGUGCUGUGUUAUUAGUUUAGAUUUAUUGAUUUUAAUUCUUUCAAAUUCUUAGUGUUUAUCUGUUUUAAUAAAAUUUUGUUUUAUAACAUAAAAUGAAAUGUAUUUGAGUGAAAGCGUAUAGCAUUCCCCUUUUUCUUACCUAAGUAUAUUUAGAGUAAAUCUAUGACUUAGAUGAUUGGCAUUACCAAGGCCCCAUUUAACUAGUGGGCAAACUGAGUACCAAAGAGAGAAAUACCUAUCUCUAAAGAGCCAACUUCACAAACCUAACCUGCAAAUUGGUAGCAAAUGUUAUAUGCAAUUAAGUAAAACAAUGGAUUUAUGGAAACUAGAUAUUUCAGAGAGAGAGAGUCAUAAUUUUUUUUUUCAGAAAUACAAGAAAUAAUCUUCUUCCAAAACACGUUUAGGAAAAACUCAAAAGAAAUAUAAAAUCCAAAAUAUCAUUUAAAUUUUAUUUCACAAAGUGACAUACAGAAGUGAGUAGCUAGAACCGUGGUACAUUUAGUUCCCUAACCAAGGAAGAACUGAUGAGGUGGCAUGGAGACAGUGAACCAGAAAGAGAGACAAUUGAGGGAUGCAGGCUAGUGUCACAAUCUUUGCAGACUUCCUCAGGGAAGAGGCAUGGAGUGGGAUGAGAUACAGCCAAAGGCAGAACUAAACACCAGGACCUAAGGUAGAAAAAUAAACAGAUGUACAGAUUACCCAGGGGUUUGCAAAUCAUGGCUUGCAGGCCAAAUCUGGCCCACCCAUUGGUUUUAUAAAUAAAAUUUUAUUGGAACACAGCCAUGUCCAUUUGUACGCAUUUUGCUCAUGGUUUCUUUCUUUUUAAAAUUAAUUUUAUUGGUAC